RNAcentral lists this long non-coding RNA (73 nucleotides) under Gouania willdenowi (blunt-snouted clingfish). RNAcentral describes it as "lncRNA (ENSGWIG00000009663.1)". The record is from RNAcentral. Lineage: Eukaryota; Metazoa; Chordata; Actinopteri; Blenniiformes; Gobiesocidae.
UACAGAUUACGCUCUCCUUGACGCAGCUUGUGUGACUCUCCAGGAUUCUCUGGGUUCUGUUUCCUGUCCUGAC